This 406-nucleotide ribosomal RNA is filed under the name uncultured bacterium. RNAcentral describes it as "bacterial SSU rRNA". It matches the Rfam family "Bacterial small subunit ribosomal RNA", at positions 56 to 463 of the family's 1533-position model. The record is from RNAcentral.
UGCAAGCCGAGCGGUAGGGUUUCUUCGGAAACCUGAGAGCGGCGCACGGGUGCGGAACACGUGUGCAACCUACCUUUAUCAGGGGGAUAGCCUUUCGAAAGGAAGAUUAAUACCCCAUAAUAUAUUAGAUGGCAUCAUUUGAUAUUGAAAACUCCGGUGGAUAGAGAUGGGCACGCGCAAGAUUAGAUAGUUGGUGAGGUAACGGCUCACCAAGUCAGUGAUCUUUAGGGGGCCUGAGAGGGUGAUCCCCCACACUGGUACUGAGACACGGACCAGACUCCUACGGGAGGCAGCAGUGCGGAAUAUUGGACAAUGGGUGAGAGCCUGAUCCAGCCAUCCCGCGUGAAGGAUGACGGCCCUAUGGGUUGUAAACUUCUUUUGUAUAGGGAUAAACCUUUCCACGUGU